Molecule: long non-coding RNA, 7076 nt
Filed under: Medicago truncatula (barrel medic)
Lineage: Eukaryota; Viridiplantae; Streptophyta; Magnoliopsida; Fabales; Fabaceae
Description: long non-coding RNA (MTRU_LNC002646)
Source: RNAcentral
UAUCGCGAUGACAACAUGGAUCAAGAGCAAACACAGGGAUGAGAUAAACAUACCUCCUCCGAUCAAAAAACUUCCUUAGCACUAAAAGAAGCAGUCACUCGCUUAAAACCAAAAAUUUGUAUCUGUGAGGGAAGGUUUGAAUUAAGGCGGUCAACAAAGCCAGGCGGAUCAAUAUAGAAUCGGCCCGAAACAACCUGACCAACAGCACUAACUCCUUUAUCAGUUCUAGCUGACCGAGCCCAGUCAUACCGUUUAGAAAGUCCACGAUCCUGUUCAGGUACAGCUCCAGAAACAUACAAAGCUUCUUCUAGUUCACCUUCAAUAGUCUUUGCACCAGGGUUUUUCUGCAUACCCUGAUAACCAACACCGCAGUAAGCAAAGAAAAUAGCUACCUUACGGCGCUUGUAUCUUACCUUACUUCCUUCAGCAGUUGUACAUCCUUCAUCAUCAGAAGUAGUGGUAGACAUCUUCACCUUCUUGGUCGCUGGCUCUUCCGCGACAGCUGAAGGUAACGCUGGAGAUGAUGAAAUUGACGGAGUUUUAUCUGAGUUUUCCAUUAUUUAUAAGCGAUAAGAAUCCGAUGCCACAAACCUAAACGAUAGCUAGAUAUAUUAAUACAAAUAAAAACAGAUCCUAAGUUACACUAUAGAUUCUUUAACAAUAUUCUAGUUACAUAUAAUAUAACUACAGAUGCAAUUUCCAUUUCAUCAAUCAAAUCUUAGGGUCUCUUUGGGAGGGGAGGACUUCGAAAGGCUAAGUCUAUAUUUUAAAACAUAUUAGAUAUUUUUUAAAAAUUGAAACAUGAUAAAUGAUCACAUAGUACUUCAAUCACACUUAAUUUAAAAUUGAAAAGCAAACCCUCCCCUCCAAAACUCUCCAAUGUUAUCCCUUAGUGCCAAAUAAGCUAAAAAUGAUAUAUAUUUUUUGGUUUUUUAAUUUGCUAUAUAUGCAUUCAAGGAAGUUAUAAAAUAAGGGAAGAAACUAUAGAAAUCAAUUUAAAUUGUUGAAUUAACAGAGAAUUUAUGAAACUAUAACCACUGUAAGUUUAUAUAUUAUUUAUUUUCAACAAAAAUAAAACAUAAGAGAAUGAAGCAAAGGUAGUUAUUACCAGAAAUAGAUCAGACGAAAGAGAGAACAACAACGUGAGACAAUGGUCGGAACAACCUUAAACCCUCAUUUCAGAAUCACGCACGAUAACAAAAGAAACUGCAUCCAUCCGAGAAAACGAAGUGAGUGUGUUUUUAUUGGGCCCACGAAUUCGUUGGAUACGGGUUUUGGUCAUUUUGCUUUUUUUUUUUUUUAUAUUUUUUUAUUAGGCCUCCAAACAAUUUCUUUUGAUGAUUUCUCAAUCUACCCCCUCAUUUUACUGGAGACAACUUCCUACUUUAGAGAAUAUAGGGAAGUUGAAUUGAGAAGUCAUUAAUUUUUAAGUGUGCAAAGAUAUCAAAAUUCAAUUUUUUAAGUAAAAUUAUUUGGUUGGUUUGUCAAGGGCCACAAAUGUUUCUUGACCUCACUAUAAAAUUUUCAGGUCUCUAAAGGUGAAUGGUAUUGAACUCGGUUAUACUAAAGGUAUGCAAGACAAAGAUAAAAUAGCAUGGGGAUGUAGUCGAGAUAGCAAUUAUUCGGUUAAGUCAGCAUACUAUUUCAUCAUGGACAGAAGCAUAAAUAACUCGCAUCUGUGCAAACCAGGGGAAUGGGAUAAGCUCCGGAAGCUGAAGAUAUCGAAUAAAGUCAAGGUGUUCCUUUGGACAGCUUUAUGCGGUAUGCUGCGAACAAGAUCGAGGUUGAUACAAAAAGAUGUGUUGCAGAUUGCAGAAGAAAUUGUGCUUGCUGCCUAAGAGGAUUGGAAAAUGAGCAGCAUGUGUUUCUUUAAUGUGAUGCAGCAAAGGAAGUAUGGAUGGAAGUAGGAAUAUGGGAGCUAAUUCAGUCUAUAGUGAAAGAAGCUGAAGGUUUCUGGAGGCCAUAAUGCAUAUGCGGUCAAAUUUAUCAAGUGAGCAAAUUGUGUUAUGGCAAAGAGAAUAUGGAGUAUUUGGUGGAAAAGGAAUGGCAUUGUGUGGGAGAAUUGCAGUAGAAGUAGCUUUGAGGUUGCAAGAAGAGCUGUAGAUACAUUACAAGAUUUGAGGGCAGUUCAUGAGAACCACAGUGCAGCCUCAGAUCACAGAAGAUCAGGAGGCAAUAUCAGAUGGCAAAAACCACGAGGAGGCACGCUAAAACGUAACAUACAUGCGGCUCUUUUUCUGACAGGGAAUAAGUUUGGUUACGGAAUACGGACUAUGGCAAGCACUGCGUUGCUACAAUUGUUGAACAAUCAUCAUAUUCAGAUCAAAAUGGAUUGUAUACAGGUUGUGGAAGCUGUCUACAAUAACAAUCAUAACAACAUUGCAGCAGGUGUUAACAAAUAAAGUAUUAUAUACCUUAUCCAUAAAAGAAUACAACAAGUUCAAUUUCAGUCUGCUGAUACCACCUUUGCCAACCUAUAGGAUAAUCACAUACCUCUCAUUGUUACGAGAAUAAGCAAUUAAAUUGAAUUCUUGCUUGUUGAGACUAUUUUGAAGAUCAUUCAGGAGCAAAUCAACUUCUAAGGCAAUUCAUUCCAAGGUUGAAGCCCAUGAAUCAUGUUAAACGCAACAAGAAAAGAUUAAGUGAAAAUGCAAAUACAUAAGGUAAAAAUUUUCAAACUAUAUUCGUGUUCAUCAUCAUUUUACAAAAUGUGUAAAUGAAAAAAGCGUGCCUAAGAUAUUUAGAAACAUCAUAUUAGAAUCAAAUUGGAUAAUAGGAGCACUAUUUAACUAGGUUGUUACUAGAUUAAAAAAAAAAAACUAGGUUGCUACUUAAACUUGAUGGAAAAGAAAGAUGAAUCAAACCCUGACAAUUAAUUGACCUGAGUGAAGGAAGGAGGCAUGAGAAUGAGAGUUGAAUUGCAUAAAUUCAAAAAGAUAUAAAUAUAUGAAGCUUAGGUUUCGUGGGGGGAUAUAUAAAUAUAUGUUUAAUGUUCUAGCUUUGAGGUAUUGAAGAAAUAAAAAAAGAUUUUAAGCAUAUGAAAUUGAAGAGAAAAGAUUAAACAUUCCAAAUAGGUGUGUGUGUGUGUGUGCGCGCAUGGAUGAGUGAAUAGAAAGAUUGUGAGAACAAGUUCUUGAUUGUCAGGGUAGCGCAAAGGGAAGGGGUAAUUGUGAGCGGGUAUCUUUGUUUUGAGUUCUUACAAGUCCCACAUCGACUAAAGCGCAAAUUAAAACUGAGCAGUUCAUAUAUAAAACUAAGCAAUCCAAAGCUUUGUUAUUGCUGUGAAAUAACUUACGGAGCUGUCAAAUACAAAUUUCAUCCCACAAAUAGUAAUGCUCUGCUGUCAAGCUUACGGAGCUGGACAAAUUAUUAUGCUUGGUCUUAAGAUACAAAGCUGGUAUUGCUGGAAGUUUCACUCUUUUAGUAAUUCCACAAAUGUUCUCACUUUGUUUCAAUUUUCAAGCCCAAAAGUUACUUCAGGCUCAAGGUAAGGUUAAUGUCAUUGCAUGGAUUGGGUAUUUCCCCUGCAAGCAUCAUUACUAAUGAACAAAUUGCAACACUCCGUAGAGAAAUGCGAUCUUGUAAACGGAUAUACCACUAAGAAGUUUGGUUGUUUAUGAAAGGAGAAAAGAAUAAUUUGUUUACAAACAACAGAAAACAAUAAUUUGGAAGUAACAGCUAUCAGUAUUUUUCCAUGGAGGAAGCAAUGAUAUAGGUCACAUGACAUCCAUGCUUUACCAUGAAGAAACUUAUUUCAUUACCUACAAAUGCAAUGAUCAAAUGCAAAAAGUAAGAUGGAAGAAAUUGUAUAAGAGACAAAAUAACUGAGAACCGAUAUAAGAGAUGCCAAAUAUUAGAGGACUUUUAAUUUAAGCAAGUACUAUCAGAAGAUGUGUAUUUUCUAAGAGGUUCUAGCUAAUAAUUUUUGUAGAAUGAUCUUGGAAUGAAUAUUUUCUUAGGAGCUAGUAUUGACAUGACCUUGAUGUAGCUGCAUUAUGACUUACGAGUAUGAUGGUAGUGCCAGUAUCUGAUGUCCACUCUGAGAGAUGAUGUUAGGUAAAGGUUUAGCAGGAUUUGCCGAGGGAUGCUUCUUUGGUUCUUCUUAAAAAAAUUCUGGAUAGAUCCAGUUCUUAAUAUGUCAUAUCAUUAUUUGUACUUCUGAUAAAGAAUUGUUUCUUCAGAACACAUCCCAAUUUUGUGCCAAACCUGAGUCAAAGGCUUUCAAUUUGAAGAGAUUUUGCUAUCUCCAAAAGUGAACCCUUUUGGAUGGAAAUUCAGCCUAAUUUGCAUCACUAACCUGAGAUUGUUUGAAAUUCAAACAAGAAACAAAAUGAUCCUCAAAAGAAAGAUACAACAAAUUCAAGCUAAUCGAGUCAAGUUGAGAAUUUUGGAUCGUAAAGCAUUAGAUGAGAUAGAAAAGUAGUAAUUCACCUAAAUCUUGUGAUUUUUGAGGUCAGGGUGAUCAAAAGCUGGUUGGUGUGAACAUGAACACAAUCAACAAUAUAUCCAUCAGGACCCUGCUUUCACAAACCCAAAUGUAAACACACACAAGUUACAACUAGCAAAAAUGAACUAUGUUUAUGAAUGACCCCAAAAAUCUUAAAACAGCUAUAAUUCUCUCAACAAACAAAAAAAGAAUGUAUAGUGGUACUAUAUAUGUAUCUUUGCAUCAAAUCAAUGGUACAAAAAUAGGUAUAUACCAAGUCAGUUCAUAAGAGAUAUCAAGUGAGUGCCUUAUUUGUUAACAAGGAAAUUAGUAUAUACCAUAUCUAUAAAGGAAUACAAGUUCAAUUUCAGUCUGCUAUGCUAAUACCAGAUCAUAAACAAAAAAAAGUGCAAUUCAAUUUCAAAGAAAAAUUAAGUACUCAAAUAAUAGAGGAUAAUCACAGACCACUCGUUGUUUUGAGUAUAAACAAUUAAAAUAUUAAAUUGAAUUGUUUCUUGUUGAGACUAUUUUGAAGAUUAUUCAGGAGCAAAUCAACUUCUAAGGCAAUUCAUUCCAAGGUUGAAGCGCAUGAGUCAUGAUAAACGCAACAACAAAGCUCAAGUAAAAAUGUGAAGACAUAAGGUUAAUUUUUUCGAAAUGUAUUCAUGUUCCUCAUAACUUUACAAAAUGUAUCAAAGAAAAGGUGUGCUUGAGACCUUUGGAAACAUCAAAUUGGAUAAUCGGAGCAUUAUUUAACUAGAUUGCCACCUAAGCUUAAUGGAAAAAGAAAAUACUGCGGUGUUGGUUAUCAGGACACCCUAAACCCUUACUGCGGUGUUGGUUAUCAGGACAUAGUGAACAAAAAGAAAAUUUAAAUAACACAAUGAAGUAAUGAAAAUACUCUUCCAUUUCCCUUUCCUAAGUGUCUCAACAAAAUAAUAGACACGAAAAGGGCCAUGUCCUGCAUAUAAUUGUCUAUGAUGCGUAGCAGUAUAGAUAAGUAUAAUAUGUCUGAAAUGUCAAAGGAAGGCAUAAACCAAUUAAAAAGAAUGAGUUCUACAAUGACCGGCACGAAAAAAGUUUCAUUCGGUUACAACUUCAAUUUCAGUUUUCUUGUCAUUCAUGUCAACUUCAACUUUCUUGUCAUUCGUGACACCUUCCCCGUCAAGGAUGCGCAGAUCUGGAUAGUUUCUAUGGUUCAAAGAAUGCAACCAUAGGCCAACAGUUCCUUCCUUAUAUUCUGUGGAAGCAAUAUGAGGAUAUAUGUACUGCAUUUUGAAAUCCUCAGCCUCCUUCUCAUAUGCUUUCAUUGACACCUCUUCGUGGGUAUCUUUCCACUUCUGGUUAUAUGAAGUAAAGAAGCACUCAUCUAAAUAUAAUCCAACCUCAGGUGCAGUAGGCACAGUGAUGCUAACAUCCCUGCAUUUUGGACGAAAAAAUAAAAAUAAAAAACUAAAUUAGAUGAUUGUCACAAUAUUUCAGAUAUAAAGUUGGAGAUAAACUAUACUAAAUUAGCAGCACUCACUUCUGCAAAGCUUUCUCAAUAAGUGACUCAGGUGCACAAUUUCUCAUGAUUGCCACGGCAAGCCCCAUCAUCUUCCGUAUCUGAUGAAGCAUGAAGCUCUGUCCCACAAUCUCACACUUCACAAAUUCCAUGCCCUCAACUACAACAGUGGUGCUUGCAUCAAAUGAAAUAAUGAAACGUUUUGCAGAAGGAUCCUCGGGUUUUAUUCUGGUCGUGAAGUUAUGGAAGUUAUGAGUUCCAACAUAACACUUCAAAAUAUUGUUAAAUCUUUCCCUCUCCUUCUCACCAUAACAAAAACCACUUCCAUUGGCAGCCGUAUCCUCUCUGUUCACUUUUUCUUCCUCGAGAAUGCCUAAAUUAUUCUCAGAUCCACCAUUUAUGGGAGCAACCUCAUCCUCAUCAGAAACCACAGUUUUAGAAUUUACUUCUUCAACUGAAACCUUACCCUCAUUGUCAUUAAUGGAUUCUUUAUUUAAAUGAUUAUCAUCACCUUUGCUUAAAGAAACCUCCACAUCCUUUGUAACUCCAGAGUCAACCACAUCAUUUUUGUUUGAUGAACCAUUCUCAACAUCCACAGCUUCUAGCUCAAGAUUGCGCUUACUAUUACCAACCACACCUUCCACUUUUCGGCCUCUCUCAGAACACGGCAAACACUUAACAAGCUCAUUUUCAGACCCUAAACUAGCCAACACAGUCUCUCUAUCGCGAUGACAACAUGGAUCAAGAGCAAACACAGGGAUGAGAUAAACAUACCUCCUCCGAUCACAAAACUUCUUAGCACUAAAAGAAGCAGUCACUCGCUUAAAACCAAAAAUUCGUAUCUGUGAGGGAAGGUUUGAAUUAAGGCGGUCAACAAAGCCAGGCGGAUCAAUAUAGAAUCGGCCCGAAACAACCUGACCAACAGCACUAACUCCUUUAUCAGUUCUAGCUGACCGAGCCCAGUCAUACCGUUUAGAAAGUCCACGAUCCUGUUCAGGUACAGCUCCAGAAACAUACAAAGCUUCUUCUAGUUCACCUUCAAUAGUCUUUGCACCAGGGUUUUUCUGCAUACCCUGAUAACCAACACCGCAGUAAGCAAAGAAAAUAGCUACCUUACGGCGCUUGUAUCUUACCUUACUUCCUUCA